GUCCACGCCUUAACUAUGAAUACUAAGUGUCGGCGGGUUACCGCCGGUGCCGCAGCUAACGCAUUAAGUAUUCCGCCUGGGAAGUACGGCCGCAAGGUUGAAACUCAAAGGAAUUGACUGGGCCCGCACAAGCGGUGGAGCAUGUGGUUUAAUUCGACGCAACGCGAAGAACCUUACCCAGGCUGGACAUGCAGGUAGUAGAAGGGUGAAAGCCCAACGAGGUAGCAAUACCAUCCUGCUCAGGUGCUGCAUGGCUGUCGU
RNAcentral lists this ribosomal RNA (261 nucleotides) under uncultured bacterium. RNAcentral's name for it is "partial 16S ribosomal RNA". It matches the Rfam family "Bacterial small subunit ribosomal RNA", at positions 793 to 1055 of the family's 1533-position model. The record is from RNAcentral.